GGGCGAGUGGCGGAACUGGUAGACGCGCUAGACUCAAAAUCUGGUGACCGCAAGGUCGUGAGGGUUCGAUUCCCUCCCCGCCCACCA
Molecule: transfer RNA, 87 nt
Filed under: Candidatus Saccharimonadota bacterium
Lineage: Bacteria; Candidatus Saccharimonadota
Also listed under: 1 other name
Description: tRNA-Leu
Rfam family: tRNA
About the family: Transfer RNA (tRNA) molecules are approximately 80 nucleotides in length.
Source: RNAcentral